RNAcentral lists this ribosomal RNA (293 nucleotides) under uncultured bacterium. Its description in RNAcentral is "partial 16S ribosomal RNA". The record is from RNAcentral.
GGACUACCCGGGUAUCUAAUCCGGUUUGCUCCCCACGCUUUCAUGCCUCAAUGUCAGGAACAGAAUAGUUGACUGCCUUCGCCUUUUUUGGUGUUCCUCUGUAGAUCAACGCAUUUCACCGCUCCACACAGAAUUCCAUCAACCUCUCCUGCCCUCUAGCAGAACAGUAUUACCAGCUUCCGUCAAAUUGAGUUUGACAUCGACCAAUAACUUAUCCUACCAUCUACGCAUCCUUUACGCCCAAUAAUUCCGGAUAACGUUCGCCACCUAUGUCUUACCGCGGCUGCUGGCAC